This 442-nucleotide long non-coding RNA is filed under the name Ananas comosus (pineapple). Its description in RNAcentral is "long non-coding RNA (ACOM_LNC039205)". The record is from RNAcentral. Lineage: Eukaryota; Viridiplantae; Streptophyta; Magnoliopsida; Poales; Bromeliaceae.
AAUUGCCCAGGCAGGCUGGGUUAUGUUGGAGGAAUUGGGGAACUUGAGGAUAAUGCUCUAUUAUAGAUUCAGAAUCGAGAUGCGCCGGAGUGGGCCAUCUCUUGAUAGAGCAAAGAUCCAAAUGUGAUUUGAACACUCACGAUGAAGCGAUGCACAAUGAUAUUGCCUUCAAGCAAGGUUGGUAAUCGAAUUGUAAUACCCUGAGGGGAAAGUAAAUGCAAAGAAAAGUUCUUGCAUGUCAAGUGGUGAAUGGUGUUGGAGCACAUGGUGUCGUUGAGUUUCAACUUGCGCUACCACCAAGAAUGACAGAGACCCGUAAUGCACUUUUGGACUUACACACAGUAAAUGUGAGUGAAUCUAGUCUCACGUCCUCCGUAGUGGGCCUUUGGAUAGUUCCAAUGAGCGAAAGGCCACUCCGAGAUGCAAAAGUGCAUUGUACCCC